CCCUUAGACACUCUAGGCGGCACGCGCGCUACAAUGGGUGGAAGAACGUGUUACUGCCUCCGAAAGGAGGGGUGAAUCACGAAUUCUUGCCCGUGAAUGGGAUAGUUUGUUGCAAUUUUCGGACUUGAACUAGGAAUCCCUUGUAAACAUGCUCAAGAAUAGCGUGUUGAAUACGUCCCUGCCGUUUGUACACACCGCCCGUCUUUUCUUCCGACUGAUACUCAUUGUGAGUUGCAAGGACCCUUUAUUGGGAAAUUGCUGCAAAUGCUUUGUAUUGGAGGAAGAAAAAGUCGUAACA
This 298-nucleotide ribosomal RNA is filed under the name uncultured eukaryote. Its description in RNAcentral is "partial 18S ribosomal RNA". It matches the Rfam family "Eukaryotic small subunit ribosomal RNA", at positions 1470 to 1796 of the family's 1831-position model. The record is from RNAcentral.